UACGUAGGGUGCGAGCGUUGUCCGGAAUUAUUGGGCGUAAAGGGCUCGUAGGCGGUUUGUCACGUCGGGAGUGAAAACUCAGGGCUUAACCCUGAGCCUGCUUCCGAUACGGGCAGACUAGAGGUAUGCAGGGGAGAACGGAAUUCCUGGUGUAGCGGUGAAAUGCGCAGAUAUCAGGAGGAACACCGGUGGCGAAGGCGGGUCUCUGGGCCGAUAUUGACGCUGAGGAGCGAAAGCGUGGGGAGCGAACAGG
Molecule: ribosomal RNA, 253 nt
Filed under: uncultured bacterium
Lineage: Bacteria
Description: partial 16S ribosomal RNA
Rfam family: Bacterial small subunit ribosomal RNA
Source: RNAcentral